CAAGCAAGGAUGGUUGAGAAAAUCAUGGAGACAUAAAAAAGGGGAAGAACCUGCAUGUAAGAGAGAAGAUACUGUGUGACUUUGUAAAUAGAUAUUGGAAAUUAGAGGUCAUCUGGGCUCUGCCGGUGUAGACUGGGCUCGACUGGUAGCUGUGCUUCAGUUUGCAGCGGCCAGAGCAGCUCUGUUUCUCUGUCUCCAUCCUCCUGGGACCAGCAGACUAGUCAGUGUCUGUUCUUCUUAUGCUGAUGGCAGAAGUUCAAGGGGGCAGGCACUUAGAACGACGACGAGUCACGGCAGAUGCAAAAAUUCACAGGGUGUGUUGUGGCAAAUAGAAAUCCCAGGAGUCUGAGGU
Leopardus geoffroyi (Geoffroy's cat) is the source of this 352-nucleotide long non-coding RNA. RefSeq lists it as uncharacterized. The record is from RefSeq and is a predicted model, not a curated record. The transcript is spliced from 3 exons. Lineage: Eukaryota; Metazoa; Chordata; Mammalia; Carnivora; Felidae.